This 253-nucleotide ribosomal RNA is filed under the name uncultured bacterium. Its description in RNAcentral is "partial 16S ribosomal RNA". It matches the Rfam family "Archaeal small subunit ribosomal RNA", at positions 474 to 727 of the family's 1478-position model. The record is from RNAcentral. RNAcentral also lists the same sequence under 1 other name.
UACCAGCACCCCGAGUGGUCGGGACGUUUAUUGGGCCUAAAGCAUCCGUAGCCGGUUCUACAAGUCUUCCGUUAAAUCCACCUGCUUAGCAGAUGGGCUGCGGAAGAUACUAUAGAGCUAGGAGGCGGGAGAGGCAAGCGGUACUCGAUGGGUAGGGGUAAAAUCCGUUGAUCCAUUGAAGACCACCAGUGGCGAAGGCGGCUUGCCAGAACGCGCUCGACGGUGAGGGAUGAAAGCUGGGGGAGCAAACCGG